RNAcentral lists this long non-coding RNA (463 nucleotides) under Monodelphis domestica (gray short-tailed opossum). RNAcentral's name for it is "lncRNA (ENSMODG00000040628.1)". The record is from RNAcentral. Lineage: Eukaryota; Metazoa; Chordata; Mammalia; Didelphimorphia; Didelphidae.
AUUUCUUCUUUUUUCCAUUUUAGGUAAAGGAGUAUUUGAAAUGAUGAAUUUUGAAAGAUAUGGAGAAGUAGUCUCUGGGAGCCCAGGAAUAUGACCUCAUGCUGGGUUUUGCAGCCAAUUAAAAAGGAUACCCAAAGGAUCAAGGAGUGAACCUUGUAUGUGACCUUCAGGACAGCCCUGUGGGAGUGAAAAGAGGAAUCACCUGGCAGGUGGUGCUAAUGGUCAAUAGCAGUUACUGGAGCUCUUGGCCAAUGACGGUCAGUUCUCUCUCUGACCAAUCAGGAACUACUAAGCUGAAGCCUUCUCUCCACUGACUGCUUCUAUCAACCACAAUUUCACAGGUUGUAAGAUAUGGUAGAGCGUGAAAAACAUUGAAAGUCUUAGAAAAGAAAGUUAAGGCCCGUCUUGUGAUCAGCCAAAGUUGGAUGUACAAUUCUCUUCUGAGAAGAAAAACAAAAGUCUG